UACGUAGGAGGCGAGCGUUGUCCGGAAUCACUGGGUGUAAAGCGCGUGUAGGCGGCCUGCCAAGUCUGCUGUGAAAGCGCCUGGCUUAACCGGGCGAGGUCGGUGGAAACUGGCGGGCUGGAGGACGGUAGAGGGGGGUGGAAUUCCCGGUGUAGUGGUGAAAUGCGUAGAGAUCGGGAGGAACACCAGUGGCGAAGGCGGCCCCCUGGGCCGUUCCUGACGCUGAGACGCGAAGGCGCGGGGAGCAAACAGG
RNAcentral lists this ribosomal RNA (253 nucleotides) under uncultured bacterium. RNAcentral's name for it is "partial 16S ribosomal RNA". It matches the Rfam family "Bacterial small subunit ribosomal RNA", at positions 524 to 776 of the family's 1533-position model. The record is from RNAcentral.